RNAcentral lists this ribosomal RNA (468 nucleotides) under uncultured bacterium. RNAcentral describes it as "partial 16S ribosomal RNA". It matches the Rfam family "Bacterial small subunit ribosomal RNA", at positions 28 to 507 of the family's 1533-position model. The record is from RNAcentral.
GACGAACGCUGGCGGCGUGCUUAACACAUGCAAGUCGAACGGAAAGGCCCUGCUUUUGUGGGGUUCUCGAGUGGCGAACGGGUGAGUAACACGUGAGUAACCUGCCCUUGACUUUGGGAUAACUUCAGGAAACUGGGGCUAAUACCGGAUAGGAUCUCCUGCUGCAUGGUGGGGGUUGGAAAGUUUCGGCGGUUGGGGAUGGACUCGCGGCUUAUCAGCUAGUUGGUGGGGUAGUGGCUUACCAAGGCUUUGACGGGUAGCCGGCCUGAGAGGGUGACCGGCCACAUUGGGACUGAGAUACGGCCCAGACUCCUACGGGAGGCAGCAGUGGGGAAUAUUGCACAAUGGGCGGAAGCCUGAUGCAGCAACGCCGCGUGCGGGAUGACGGCCUUCGGGUUGUAAACCGCUUUCGCCUGUGACGAAGCGUGAGUGACGGUAAUGGGUAAAGAAGCACCGGCUAACUACGUG